Molecule: ribosomal RNA, 620 nt
Filed under: uncultured bacterium
Lineage: Bacteria
Description: bacterial SSU rRNA
Rfam family: Bacterial small subunit ribosomal RNA (bases 1-544)
Source: RNAcentral
CCUACGGGAGGCAGCAGUGGGGAAUUUUGGACAAUGGGGGCAACCCUGAUCCAGCCAUUCCGCGUGAGUGAAGAAGGCCUUCGGGUUGUAAAGCUCUUUCGCAAGGGAAGAAAACUUAUGAUCGAAUAAAUCAUGAGGUUGACGGUACCUUGAUAAGAAGCACCGGCUAACUACGUGCCAGCAGCCGCGGUAAUACGUAGGGUGCGAGCGUUAAUCGGAAUUACUGGGCGUAAAGCGUGCGCAGGCGGUUUUGUAAGUCGGAUGUGAAAUCCCCGGGCUCAACCUGGGAACUGCGUUCGAAACUGCAAGGCUAGAGUGUGUCAGAGGGGGGUAGAAUUCCACGUGUAGCAGUGAAAUGCGUAGAGAUGUGGAGGAAUACCAAUGGCGAAGGCAGCCCCCUGGGAUAACACUGACGCUCAUGCACGAAAGCGUGGGGAGCAAACAGGAUUAGAUACCCUGGUAGUCCACGCCCUAAACGAUGUCAACUAGUUGUUGGUAGAGUAAAAUCUAUGAGUAACGUAGCUAACGCGUGAAGUUGACCGCCUGGGGGAGGUACGGUCGGCGAAGAGUUAAACGUUACAAUAGUUAGUUAGUAGGCGAGGCGACGACGAGGGAGGAGG